RNAcentral lists this ribosomal RNA (460 nucleotides) under uncultured bacterium. RNAcentral's name for it is "partial 16S ribosomal RNA". It matches the Rfam family "Bacterial small subunit ribosomal RNA", at positions 338 to 795 of the family's 1533-position model. The record is from RNAcentral.
CCUACGGGAGGCUGCAGUGAGGAAUAUUGGUCAAUGGACGAGAGUCUGAACCAGCCAAGUAGCGUGAAGGAUGACUGCCCUAUGGGUUGUAAACUUCUUUUAUAUGGGAAUAAAAUGUUCCACGUGUGGGAUUUUGUAUGUACCAUAUGAAUAAGGAUCGGCUAACUCCGUGCCAGCAGCCGCGGUAAUACGGAGGAUCCGAGCGUUAUCCGGAUUUAUUGGGUUUAAAGGGAGCGUAGGUGGAUUGUUAAGUCAGUUGUGAAAGUUUGCGGCUCAACCGUAAAAUUGCAGUUGAAACUGGCAGUCUUGAGUACAGUAGAGGUGGGCGGAAUUCGUGGUGUAGCGGUGAAAUGCUUAGAUAUCACGAAGAACGCCGAUUGCGAAGGCAGUUCACUGGACUGCAACUGACACUGAGGCUCGAAAGUGUGGGUAUCAAACAGGAUUAGAUACCCGAGUAGUC